AUGCACCCUAUUCCCUAUGUAGUGCACUACUUUAGACCAGGGCCCAUGCACCCUAUUCCCUAUGUAGUGCACUACUUUAGACCAGGACCCAUGCACCCUAUUCCCUAUGUAGUGCACUACUUUAGACCAGGACCCAUGCACCCUAUUCCCUAUGUAGUGCACUACUUUAGACCAGGGCCCAUGCACCCUAUUCCCUAUGUAGUGCACUACUUUAGACCAGGCCCCAUGCACCCUAUUCCCUAUGUAGUGCACUACUUUAGACCAGGCCCCAUGCACCCUAUUCCCUAUGUAGUGCACUACUUUAGACCAGGCCCCAUGCACCCUAUUCCCUAUGUAGUGCACUACUUUAGACCAGGACCCAUGCACCCUAUUCCCUAUAUAGUGCACUACUUUAGACCAGGGCCCAUGCACCCUAUUCCCUAUGUAGUGCACUACUUUAGACCAGGGCCCAUGCACCCUAUUCCCUAUGUAGUGCACUACUUUAGACAAGGGCCCAUGCACCCUAUGCCCUAUGUAGUGCACUACUUUAGACCAGGACCCAUGCACCCUAUUCCCUAUGUAGUGCACUACUUUAGACCAGGGCCCAUGCACCCUAUUCCCUAUGUAGUGCACUACUUUAGACCAGGACCCAUGCACCCUAUUCCCUAUGUAGUGCACUACUUUAGACCAGGGCCCAUGCACCCUAUUCCCUAUGUAGUGCACUACUUUAGACCAGGGCCCAUGCACCCUAUUCCCUAUGUAGUGCACUACUUUAGACCAGGACCCAUGCACCCUAUUCCCUAUAUAGUGCACUACUUUAGACCAGGGCCCAUGCACCCUAUUCCCUAUAUAGUGCACUACUUUAGACCAGGGCCCAUGCACCCUAUUCCCUAUAUAGUCCACUACUUUAGACCAGGACACAUGCACCCUAUUCCCUAUGUAGUGCACUACUUUAGACCAGGGCCCAUGCACCCUAUUCCCUAUAUAGUGCACUACUUUAGACCAGGACCCAUAGGCCCGAGAAGUAGUGCACUGUGUAGGGAAUAG
This 1026-nucleotide long non-coding RNA is filed under the name Oncorhynchus kisutch (coho salmon). RNAcentral's name for it is "lncRNA (ENSOKIG00005043565.1)". The record is from RNAcentral. Lineage: Eukaryota; Metazoa; Chordata; Actinopteri; Salmoniformes; Salmonidae.